AGAGGGGCUUUGAAAAAAAUUGUUGCUAUUUAGAUGAGGACCAAAUGAAACAUUCUGUUCACCGCCAAUAAGAACCCUUGCUCCUCAAAACUCCCCCCUCUCUCGACCACCGAAGAAAACCCUACCUCACUCAGAUUUUGAAACCGAAACCCGACCCGUCGAAGGAGAGAUCCGCCUGAAGCACACCAUUCUGUCCUAACGAGGCACUGAGUUUGUAUCAAAACAUUAUACGAGCUACCGACUUCUUCAUGUGGCCGAAAUCUCCAGGUGUCCUCUGGCGCGAUGUAUUGACAGAGAAUGCUCGAAAGGAGUUCGAAGACGCCCGAUUUGAGAAGGAUCUGGAAAUUGUCGCUCCUCUGAUGUUUGGAGGGCCGGAUGUCUGCAGUCAGCUGUUGAUAAGCUUGUCAAGAAGCAAAAGCAGCAAAUUUAGGAUGAAAGCAAUGAAUCAAAUCGACGUUGAAGUUUUUUGGGCACGGAGUUGCUGUCAAGAUCCUUAAUAAUACAUAAGAAACUGCUGCAACUUUAAGCUGUUGGUUCAAUGCUUUAGAAGGAGAGAAUUAUUCUUGAUGUCGUGUAGAUUUUACACCUUAAUGGAUGGAAGUUGAAUGCCCCAAAGGUAUCUCAGGUACAGUAAUCUGAGACAUGAGUGGACGAAGAGAGGAAUUUCAUUAAGGUUCAUUCACCAGAAUCAUUAACAUUCACUCACCAUUUGGUUGGUCCUUAGGGAUUGGCAAAACUCAGGUAAUAAUAAUGUUGGCUUCCAUGUCUGCAUAUGUUUAUUUUAUAUAUUAUUGACAACUAUUUUUCUCAAAAUUUAUUCUUAUCCUGUUUGCUGUAAGUUUCCCUAAUCCCUAGGUCCAUCAGUAGAAUGAUUGUAUUUUGAUUUUAUACAUUAGUUUUUGCUGGAGUUGCAUUCCACUUAAACUCAGAUAAAAUAUAUUCGUGGGGUUAUUGGUUUGGAAGGAUCAGUUUUUUGUUGUCCAAUCCUUCAUAAUAGAUUAUUGUGCAUUAAGCAAAUGAUGAGCUGGCAACAUAGGAAAAAUUUGAUGCCUUCAUCUUACUUUCUCAGAUCAGAUGAAGAACUAGAGAAACGAGAAAUUUAGGCCGUCUCGAGCAAGAUUUCUUUGAUAGGUUACUUUUAAGGCUGCUUAUCUUUACGUUGUCGAAUUACUUAUGAAUGUUACUGUCAGUUCAAUGUCAAACCUGCUCCAUGUUUCUACUGUAGGGAUUUGGAUGAUCAAUUUUUAGGCAGUUUUACGUAUCAAAAAAAAACUUCUUAGGCAGUUUUACCGUUCAAAAUUGGUUGUUGUGUAUUUGAGCUCAUAAUGACUUGGCAGCAUUGGACAACUUUGAUGCAUUCUCCUUACUUCUUUGAAUCAGAUGAAGAACUAGAGAAGCAAGAAAUUCUGGUCAUCCCAAUUAAAUACACCCCUACCUUACGGUGAUAAAACUAUAAUCCAUCUCCUUUGCAUCACAUUUUGUAGAAAGACCACCAUCCUAGUUCAGUCCCUUUUCUAUAUAAUUCUAAUAAUAUAUGUCUCAUGUUGAUGUUAUAAAGUUUUUUGAUGAUGAUUAAAAGAAACUUGAAAGUUUUUUUUAUCAAUAUCCGCUUCUCCAAUUCCUGCCACCAGUCUAGGUCAAGUGUACAAAGCUCGGUUGAAGUACUCUGGCCAGGUUGUUGCUGUGAAGGUGCAAAGACUUGGUAUUGAAGAAGAUUUAGGGCUGGACUUUUAUCUUACAAGAGGUUUAGGUUUCCUUAUAUAUAAGCCCUUGUUUGAUCCCCAUUCUUUGGAAAAAAUGAAUUCUUCAACAGUGUUUUGAUA
This is an RNA transcript of Olea europaea var. sylvestris, 1823 nucleotides long. RefSeq lists it as uncharacterized. The record is from RefSeq and is a predicted model, not a curated record. The transcript has 2 exons. Lineage: Eukaryota; Viridiplantae; Streptophyta; Magnoliopsida; Lamiales; Oleaceae.